This 740-nucleotide ribosomal RNA is filed under the name uncultured bacterium. Its description in RNAcentral is "bacterial SSU rRNA". It matches the Rfam family "Bacterial small subunit ribosomal RNA", at positions 764 to 1504 of the family's 1533-position model. The record is from RNAcentral.
GGGAGCAAACAGGAUAGAUACCCUGGUAGUCCACGCCGUAAACGAUGUCUACUUGAAGGUUGUGGCCUUGAGCCGUGGCUUUCGGAGCUAACGCGUUAAGUAGACCGCCUGGGGAGUACGGUCGCAAGAUUAAAACUCAAAUGAAUUGACGGGGGCCCGCACAAGCGGUGGAGCAUGUGGUUUAAUUCGAUGCAACGCGAAGAACCUUACCUACUCUUGACAUCCAGAGAAGUUACCAGAGAUGGUUUCGUGCCUUCGGGAACUCUGAGACAGGUGCUGCAUGGCUGUCGUCAGCUCGUGUUGUGAAAUGUUGGGUUAAGUCCCGCAACGAGCGCAACCCUUAUCCUUGUUUGCCAGCACGUAAUGGUGGGAACUCCAGGGAGACUGCCGGUGAUAAACCGGAGGAAGGUGGGGACGACGUCAAGUCAUCAUGGCCCUUACGAGUAGGGCUACACACGUGCUACAAUGGCGUAUACAGAGGGCUGCCAACCAGCGAUGGUGAGCGAAUCCCACAAAGUACGUCGUAGUCCGGAUCGGAGUCUGCAACUCGACUCCGUGAAGUCGGAAUCGCUAGUAAUCGUGAAUCAGAAUGUCACGGUGAAUACGUUCCCGGGCCUUGUACACACCGCCCGUCACACCAUGGGAGUGGGCUGCACCAGAAGUAGAUAGCUUAACCUUCGGGAGGGCGUUUACCACGGUGUGGUUCAUGACUGGGGUGAAGUCGUAACAAGGUAGCCGUA